RNAcentral lists this ribosomal RNA (450 nucleotides) under uncultured bacterium. RNAcentral describes it as "bacterial SSU rRNA". It matches the Rfam family "Bacterial small subunit ribosomal RNA", at positions 354 to 796 of the family's 1533-position model. The record is from RNAcentral.
GUGGGGAAUUUUGGACAAUGGGGGCAACCCUGAUCCAGCCAUGCCGCGUGAGUGAAGAAGGCCUUCGGGUUGUAAAGCUCUUUCGGUGGGAACGAAACGCUCUGCACUAAUAAUGCGGGGUAAUGACGGUACUCACAGAAGAAGCACCGGCUAACUACGUGCCAGCAGCCGCGGUAAUACGUAGGGUGCGGGCGUUAAUCGGAAUUACUGGGCGUAAAGGGUGCGCAGGCGGCGGCUCAAGUCAGGUGUGAAAGCCCCGGGCUUAACCUGGGAUGUGCGCUUGAAACUAGGUCGCUAGAGUGUGUCAGAGGGGGGUGGAAUUCCACGUGUAGCAGUGAAAUGCGUAGAGAUGUGGAGGAACACCGAUGGCGAAGGCAGCCCCCUGGGAUAACACUGACGCUCGGGCACGAAAGCGUGGGGAGCAAACAGGAUUAGAAACCCCGGUAGUCC